RNAcentral lists this ribosomal RNA (1834 nucleotides) under Triticum aestivum (bread wheat). RNAcentral describes it as "partial small subunit ribosomal RNA". Lineage: Eukaryota; Viridiplantae; Streptophyta; Magnoliopsida; Poales; Poaceae. The record is from RNAcentral.
GCAGAAAGAAAUAUGCCAUUUUCUCUAGACCGUCCUGUACCUUGCUUUCGUCUUCCUCACCCCGAGCCUCGGCCCUCCUGACCUAACCAAUCCGACCCUAGGCGGCUCCAUCUCUCCUAGACUGUGCCACGACGUGCCCUGCCGUAGCACUGCGUUACCGCCGACGCCUCACUCCCACCCCAUCCCAUCCCCCACUCCCACAUCCCCUCCGCCCCUCUCACGCGCCUCGCCGCCAUCGCCGUCCCCGUUCUUCCUCGUCGCCGAAUUUCGUCCCUGCUGUCCCCGCCCCGUCCGCAAUCUCGGGCCAUUGGGUUUUGAGGUUCCAGGGAUUGGUGUCUGGAAUGCAAUGGUGGGGAUAGCCUGACCGUCCAGAGCCCGAAAGAAGAGCACAUUUCUCGUUCCAAUCUCGGUUUUCUUGGAUUUCGAUUCGUUUGUUCAGGGCCGGCCGAGAUGGACGACGACGGCAGCUUGAGCAUUCGGAAUUGGGGCUUCUAUGAGACGAUGAAAGGCAACCUCGGCCUGCAGCUGAUGCCAUCUGUGGCCGGCGGCCACCGGGACACAAAGCCGCUGCUCCCCAACGGCACCUUCUUGCAGCACCACAACGCCCCGCACCACCCGCCGCAUUCACAUCAUCCCCGCGACUAUGGUAACGGCGAACCCUCUGGUGGCAUGCCCACCGAGCCGCCGGCUAUUCACAUGGACUUUGUGCGCAACGAGGCCUGGAUGCACCCCUCGCAGCAUCAGCAUCAGCACCAGCACCACCACCAGAACCAACAUCAACAGCAGCAUCAGCAUCAGCAUCAACAUUCCCGUGAGCAGAAGGUCCUUCAUGCUGUUCCUCUUGGGCCUCCUGGACAUAUUGGACAUCCUGGACAUGCUGUGCAUCACCACCCUACAGAUUUUGGGAUGAUGCCAGAUGCGCGUGGUGCGCACACUCUCCAGAUGAUGCAGCCACAGGAGCCUCCUGUGCCUGAGGAGGAAAAAAUUGCCCCACCGUUGGUUGAAGAGCAUUCUGUGGUCGGAAGCAAGCCUCUGGUAAAGAAGAGGCAGCAAGGUCGUCAGCCUAAGUUGCCGAAGCCGAAGAAACCUAAGAAGGUUGCUACUCCAGGCGAAGAUGGGGCACCCAAGGCCCGUGCACCCCGAAGCAGGGGUCCUCUUAAGCCUGUGGAAAUGGUAAUUAAUGGUAUUGAUUUUGACAUUUCAAGGAUACCAACACCUGUGUGCUCAUGCACUGGAGCUCCCCAGCAAUGCUACCGGUGGGGUGCAGGUGGCUGGCAGUCUGCAUGCUGCACAACUUCUAUUUCGACAUAUCCGCUGCCAAUGAACACAAAGCGCCGGGGCGCACGUAUUGCUGGAAGGAAGAUGAGCCAAGGUGCAUUCAAAAAGGUUCUUGAGAAGCUAGCUGGUGAAGGGUACAACCUUAAUAAUCCAAUUGACUUGAAGACCUUCUGGGCCAAACAUGGCACAAACAAGUUUGUAACAAUCAGGUAAGAGACAUGCUAUGUUGAUUGCCUUGUAGGCUCCAACGCUGCAGUUUGGUCUGAGUUAUUCUCUGUACCUGCUCUUGCCAAUCUGUAGACAUCUUUAGAAGUAGCUUGUAGCCAUGUUCAGUUUCCUGGACUUAAUUUACAUGCCUAUUUCGAGCUUCAGCUGUGAAGUAGGAAGUCUGUCUGUAUCUGUCAUGUCAAUUUAGAAGUUGUAGUGUAAUGGCAACAGUUUUUCUGAUUUAGUUAGCAUUUAAUGCUUCAAUGUCUGUUAUGACCUGGAUGUUUAUGGCUUCAUGUAGAGGUUUUCUCCAUUAAAGUUGAAAGAUAAUCGCUACCUCUUCUAGGGC